Molecule: ribosomal RNA, 508 nt
Filed under: uncultured bacterium
Lineage: Bacteria
Description: bacterial SSU rRNA
Rfam family: Bacterial small subunit ribosomal RNA
Source: RNAcentral
AAUAUUGGACAAUGGGGGCAACCCUGAUCCAGCGACGCCGCGUGUGUGAAGAAGGCCUGCGGGUUGUAAAGCACUUUUAGUGGGGAUGAAAAGCUCGGGGCUAAUACCUCCGGGUCUUGACCUAACCCAAAGAAAAAGCACCGGCUAACUCUGUGCCAGCAGCCGCGGUAAUACAGAGGGUGCGAGCGUUAAUCGGAAUUACUGGGCGUAAAGCGUGCGUAGACGGUUAGGUAAGUCGGAUGUGAAAGCCCCGGGCUCAACCUGGGAAUUGCAUUCGAGACUGCUUAGCUAGGAUGCGGAAGAGGGAAGCGGAAUUUCCGGUGUAGCGGUGAAAUGCGUAGAUAUCGGAAGGAGCACCAGUGGCGAAAGCGGCUUCCUGGUCCAGCAUCGACGUUCAGGCACGAAAGCGUGGGGAGCAAACAGGAUUAGAUACCCUGGUAGUCCACGCCAUAAACGAUGACAACUAGACGUUGAGAGGGUAAGCCUCCCAGUGUCGCAGCUAACGCGU